GGUUGUGGCUCAGCAGUAGAGUGCUCGCCUCGCACAGGCAAGACCCUGGGUUCAAUUCUCAGCACCA
This 67-nucleotide transfer RNA is filed under the name Marmota monax (woodchuck). Its description in RNAcentral is "tRNA.Ala". The record is from RNAcentral. Lineage: Eukaryota; Metazoa; Chordata; Mammalia; Rodentia; Sciuridae.